UACGUAGGGCGCAAGCGUUGUCCGGAAUUAUUGGGCGUAAAGAGCUCGUAGGCGGCCAGUUGCGUCUGCUGUGAAAUCCCGGGGCUCAACCCCGGGCUUGCAGUGGAUACGGGCUGGCUGGAGGCAGGCAGGGGAGAACGGAAUUCCCGGUGUAGCGGUGAAAUGCGCAGAUAUCGGGAGGAACACCGGUGGCGAAGGCGGUUCUCUGGGCCUGUACUGACGCUGAGGAGCGGAAGCGUGGGGAGCGAACAGG
This 253-nucleotide ribosomal RNA is filed under the name uncultured bacterium. Its description in RNAcentral is "partial 16S ribosomal RNA". It matches the Rfam family "Bacterial small subunit ribosomal RNA", at positions 524 to 776 of the family's 1533-position model. The record is from RNAcentral.